AACGCGAAGAACCUUACCUGGGUUUGACAUGCGCCUGCACCACCCGUAAUGGGGUGUCCCCUUCGGGGGCGGGCGCACAGGUGCUGCAUGGCUGUCGUCAGCUCGUGCCGUGAGGUGUUGGGUUAAGUCCCCUAACGAGCGCAACCCCUAGGGUCCGUUACAAUGCUCUCGGGCCCGACUGCCGCGCGCAACGCGGAGGAAGGUGGGGAUGAUGUCAAGUCAGCACGGCCCUUACGUCCAGGGCGACACACACGCUACAAUGGCCGGUACAAUGGGUCGCCAAGCCGCGAGGCGGAGCCAAUCCCAGCAAAGCCGGUCUCAGUUCGGAUUGCAGGCUGCAACUCGCCUGCAUGAAGCUGGAGUUGCUAGUAACCGCGGGUCAGCACACCGCGGUGAAUACGUUCCCGGGCCUUGUACACACCGCACUACUA
This 431-nucleotide ribosomal RNA is filed under the name uncultured bacterium. RNAcentral describes it as "bacterial SSU rRNA". It matches the Rfam family "Bacterial small subunit ribosomal RNA", at positions 958 to 1400 of the family's 1533-position model. The record is from RNAcentral.